GACGAACGCUGGCGGCGUGCUUAACACAUGCAAGUCGAGCGGUAAGGCCUCUUCGGGGGUACACGAGCGGCGCACGGGUGCGUAACACGUGGGUGACCUGCCCUCAUCUCUGGGAUAAGCCUGGGAAACUGGGUCUAAUACCGGAUAUGACCUUUCCUCGCAUGGGGUUUGGUGGAAAGUUUUUUCGGCUGGGGAUGGGCCCGCGGCCUAUCAGCUUGUUGGUGGGGUGAUGGCCUACCAAGGCGACGACGGGUAGCCGGCCUGAGAGGGCGACCGGCCACACUGGGACUGAGACACGGCCCAGACUCCUACGGGAGGCAGCAGUGGGGAACAUUGCGCAAUGGGCGGAAGCCUGACGCAGCGACGCCGCGUGGGGGAUGACGGCCUUCGGGUUGUAAACCUCUUUCGACCCCGACGAAUUUGGACGGUAGGGGUAGAAGAAGCACCGGCCAACUACGUG
RNAcentral lists this ribosomal RNA (460 nucleotides) under uncultured bacterium. Its description in RNAcentral is "partial 16S ribosomal RNA". It matches the Rfam family "Bacterial small subunit ribosomal RNA", at positions 28 to 507 of the family's 1533-position model. The record is from RNAcentral.